ACUUUCAACAACGGAUCUCUUGGUUCUGGCAUCGAUGAAGAACGCAGCGAAAUGCGAUAAGUAAUGUGAAUUGCAGAAUUCAGUGAAUCAUCGAAUCUUUGAACGCACAUUGCGCCCUCUGGUAUUCCGGGGGGCAUGCCUGUUCGAGCGUCAUUAUAACCACUCAAGCUCU
RNAcentral lists this ribosomal RNA (172 nucleotides) under Cadophora malorum. RNAcentral describes it as "5.8S ribosomal RNA". The stretch from base 1 to 153 matches the Rfam family "5.8S ribosomal RNA". Rfam says of the family: 5.8S ribosomal RNA (5.8S rRNA) is a component of the large subunit of the eukaryotic ribosome. It is transcribed by RNA polymerase I as part of the 45S precursor that also contains 18S and 28S rRNA. Lineage: Eukaryota; Fungi; Ascomycota; Leotiomycetes; Helotiales; Ploettnerulaceae. The record is from RNAcentral.